Molecule: ribosomal RNA, 473 nt
Filed under: Escherichia coli
Lineage: Bacteria; Pseudomonadati; Pseudomonadota; Gammaproteobacteria; Enterobacterales; Enterobacteriaceae
Description: bacterial SSU rRNA
Rfam family: Bacterial small subunit ribosomal RNA
Source: RNAcentral
AAAUUGAAGAGUUUGAUCAUGGCUCAGAUUGAACGCUGGCGGCAGGCCUAACACAUGCAAGUCGAACGGUAACAGGAAGCAGCUUGCUGCUUUGCUGACGAGUGGCGGACGGGUGAGUAAUGUCUGGGAAACUGCCUGAUGGAGGGGGAUAACUACUGGAAACGGUAGCUAAUACCGCAUAACGUCGCAAGACCAAAGAGGGGGACCUUCGGGCCUCUUGCCAUCGGAUGUGCCCAGAUGGGAUUAGCUUGUUGGUGGGGUAACGGCUCACCAAGGCGACGAUCCCUAGCUGGUCUGAGAGGAUGACCAGUCACACUGGAACUGAGACACGGUCCAGACUCCUACGGGAGGCAGCAGUGGGGAAUAUUGCACAAUGGGCGCAAGCCUGAUGCAGCCAUGCCGCGUGUAUGAAGAAGGCCUUCGGGUUGUAAAGUACUUUCAGCGGGGAGGAAGGGAGUAAAGUUAAUACCUUU